RNAcentral lists this ribosomal RNA (229 nucleotides) under uncultured bacterium. RNAcentral's name for it is "partial 16S ribosomal RNA". It matches the Rfam family "Bacterial small subunit ribosomal RNA", at positions 568 to 796 of the family's 1533-position model. The record is from RNAcentral.
UGCGUAGGCGGAAUAUUAAGUCAGUGGUGAAAUCCUGCGGCUCAACCGUAGAACUGCCAUUGAUACUGAUAUUCUUGAAUGUAGUUGAGGUAGGCGGAAUGUGUAAUGUAGCGGUGAAAUGCUUAGAUAUUACACAGAACACCGAUUGCGAAGGCAGCUUACUAAACUAUGAUUGACGCUGAGGCACGAAAGCGUGGGGAGCGAACAGGAUUAGAUACCCGAGUAGUCC